Long non-coding RNA from Triticum dicoccoides, 1502 nucleotides. RefSeq lists it as uncharacterized. The record is from RefSeq and is a predicted model, not a curated record. Lineage: Eukaryota; Viridiplantae; Streptophyta; Magnoliopsida; Poales; Poaceae. The transcript has 6 exons.
AGCGCUUGGUCAAAAUCCCUAAAACAGGGUCCGGUCUUCCCCCAUCGGUCUGCUCCUCCUACUCCCACGACCAGCGCCGCCGCUUGCCCCCGUGUCCGCCGUCCAGUUCUGAUCCGCCGACUCCCUCCCCAUCGAGCGCCGCCCACAUCGCCGUUGAGCACCGACUCCACGCCUCCAGCACAGCCUCCCUCCCCAUCUAGCGCGGCCCCCAUCGCCGGCGACUUCCAGAUCCGCCUCCCUGGCCAGCGAACUUCCAGAUCCGCGUCCCUGGCCGGCGAACUUCCAGAUCCACCUCCGUCGCCGUGUGGAGGUGGCUCCCUCCCCGACCAGAUUGAGGGCAACAGCCAUGGGGAUAUAGUCGCCAUCUGUCUAGGUCUUACAAAAUCAGGAAGUUGUAGCGCUACAAAGGCCAAGUUUGAGAAGUGACAUUGCCACACCACAACCCUCUCGAUCAAGAAGUCCAAUCCAGGCAUGUUGAAGAACCCACCACAAAGCAUCUUCAAGACGCACAUCCAGUAUAUUGGAAGGAACGUCAUCUCGAUCUUCAAAGUUAUGUUCCUGGUACUUCUUCAUAGUUGCAGUCUGCACUUGGCACCAAGAAAAGACCUUUUCAUUUGUUUGGUGACUAAUAGCAUGUGUGUCAUGAGCUGGAGUUUACCUUUGUGUUUGAAAACUUGUAUACAUAUAUUACAGUUUUGCCUUUCACCAUUGUUCAUUGAAAUAUGCUAUAUUCUUUUCCAUUGUAGGUGAAUUGAUCCUUCCAAGCCCAAGAGGAUGCCGGUACUCCGCUGGCAGAUCCUUCCCAUGCUGAAGGCCAUGUUCAUGCUACUCAUCUGGAUGAGCAUGGUUCUACCCCAAGACAGGAUAUAUACUAUUUGUUGCACUACAGUUGGUAUAUAGCAAGAUGGAUAAGAAAUACCCAAGAGCUUCUUCCUUUUCAAGAUUAGAAGAUGAAUGAUAGUGAUACGCUUCUGAGAAGAAAUCGUUCCAGGUACUGGGCGUAGUGGUGAUGGAGACAUAGACUUGUAAGACCCUUGGGUGGGCGAACGCCCUUGAGCACCUCCACUUGAACUUCUGGUGAAUGGAACAUUCCAAGCCCAAGGGAAUGCACUCCAUUAACAGAAUCUUCCCAUGAUGGAAGACCAUCCUCAUGCUACUCAUGUGGAUGAGCAUAGUUCUACUCCAACAUUUAGAAAUUCCAGUAGUAUAAUUAGUUGUUAAUAUUGUGAAAUAGGGUGCAGGUAGGCUCUCUUUGUCAAUUGCUUCUCUUGGCAAUUUAGGAAUCAACCAGUAUCCGUGUUUCGUAUUUGGUGACACCUCCUGUUAAGUUAAGGCUCCAUGAAUCAUGACUUGGAUAUGAAUAUGUAGAUCUUGUGAAUAACGAGAUUUAAAUAAAUUGGAUGGGUACAUUGUGACCUAGGAAUUGGAUGUGAUUUUAAACCGUGUUAUAUGAUCUUUGUGUAUACAUGAAUGUGAAAUGAUUUGGCAUGUGGCUUUGAAUA